AUUGAACGCUGGCGGCAUGCCUAACACAUGCAAGUCGAACGGAGAUAGGGGCAACCUUAUUUUAGUGGCGGACGGGUGAGGAAUGCGUCGGAAUCUGCCCUAUGGUGGGGGAUAACACAGGGAAACUUGUGCUAAUACCGCAUAAUGUCGAGAGACCAAAGCAGGGGACCGCAAGGCCUUGCGCGAUAGGAUGAGCCGACGCCCGAUUAGCUUGUUGGUAGGGUAAUGGCCUACCAAGGCGACGAUCGGUAGCUGGUCUGAGAGGAUGAUCAGCCACACUGGGACUGAGACACGGCCCAGACUCCUACGGGAGGCAGCAGUGGGGGAAUAUUGGACAAUGGGCGCAAGCCUGAUCCAGCCAUGCCGCGUGAGUGAAGAAGGCCU
RNAcentral lists this ribosomal RNA (384 nucleotides) under uncultured bacterium. RNAcentral describes it as "bacterial SSU rRNA". It matches the Rfam family "Bacterial small subunit ribosomal RNA", at positions 30 to 417 of the family's 1533-position model. The record is from RNAcentral.